Molecule: ribosomal RNA, 642 nt
Filed under: Alphaproteobacteria bacterium IP-16A
Lineage: Bacteria; Pseudomonadati; Pseudomonadota; Alphaproteobacteria
Description: bacterial SSU rRNA
Rfam family: Bacterial small subunit ribosomal RNA
Source: RNAcentral
CUAGUGGUACGGAACAACUCAGGGAAACUUGAGCUAAUACCGUAUAAGCCCGAAAGGGGAAAGAUUUAUCGCCACUAGAUCAGCCCGCGUAGGAUUAGCUAGUUGGUAGGGUAACGGCCUACCAAGGCGACGAUCCUUAGCUGUUCUGAGAGGAAGAUCAGCCACACUGGGACUGAGACACGGCCCAGACUCCUACGGGAGGCAGCAGUUGGGAAUCUUGGACAAUGGGCGCAAGCCUGAUCCAGCCAUGCCGCGUGAGUGAUGAAGGCCUUAGGGUUGUAAAGCUCUUUUACCCGGGAAGAUAAUGACUGUACCGGGAGAAUAAGCUCCGGCUAACUUCGUGCCAGCAGCCGCGGUAAUACGAAGGGGGCUAGCGUUGUUCGGAAUUACUGGGCGUAAAGCGUGCGCAGGCGGUCUCUCAAGUCAGGGGUGAAAGCCCAGAGCUCAACUCUGGAAUUGCCUUUGAAACUGUGAGGCUCGAGUGCGGGAGAGGUGAGUGGAAUUCCCAGUGUAGAGGUGAAAUUCGUAGAUAUUGGGAAGAACACCGGUGGCGAAGGCGGCUCACUGGCCCGUUUCUGACGCUCAUGCACGAUAGCGUGGGGAUCAAACAGGAUUAGAUACCCUGGUAGUCCACGCCGUAAA